RNAcentral lists this unclassified non-coding RNA (237 nucleotides) under Borreliella garinii. Its description in RNAcentral is "partial 5S-23S ribosomal RNA intergenic spacer". The record is from RNAcentral. Lineage: Bacteria; Pseudomonadati; Spirochaetota; Spirochaetia; Spirochaetales; Borreliaceae.
UGCGAGUUCGCGGGAGAGUAAGUUAUUGCCAGGGUUUUUGUUUUAUACUUUAAACAUUGAUUUUAUUUUUUAUGUUUUUGAAUGUUUUAUUCAAAUAAUAUAAAAAAUAAAAUAUAUAUUGACAUGGAUUAAACAAAGAUAUAUAUUAUUUAUGUUGUAUAAAUAAAUUGGCAAAAUAGAGAUGGAAGAUAAAAAUAUGGUCAAAGUAAUAAGAGUCUAUGGUGAAUGCCUAGGAGC